RNAcentral lists this ribosomal RNA (363 nucleotides) under uncultured Paracoccaceae bacterium. RNAcentral describes it as "bacterial SSU rRNA". It matches the Rfam family "Bacterial small subunit ribosomal RNA", at positions 1 to 396 of the family's 1533-position model. The record is from RNAcentral. Lineage: Bacteria; Pseudomonadati; Pseudomonadota; Alphaproteobacteria; Rhodobacterales; Paracoccaceae.
UAGUGAGUUUGAUCCUGGCUCAGAACGAACGCUGGCGGCAGGCUUAACACAUGCAAGUCGAGCGAGACCUUCGGGUCUAGCGGCGGACGGGUGAGUAACGCGUGGGAACGUGCCCUUCUCUACGGAAUAGCCCCGGGAAACUGGGAGUAAUACCGUAUAAGCCCUACGGGGGAAAGAUUUAUCGCCAAAGGAUCGGCCCGCGUUGGAUUAGGUAGUUGGUGGGGUAAUGGCCUACCAAGGCGACGAUCCGUAGCUGAUCUUAGAGGAUGAUCAGCCACACUGGGACUGAGACACGGCCCAGACUCCUACGGGAGCAGCAGUGGGGAAUAUUGCACAAUGGGGCGCAAGCCUGAUGCAGCAACG